RNAcentral lists this ribosomal RNA (264 nucleotides) under uncultured bacterium. RNAcentral describes it as "partial 16S ribosomal RNA". It matches the Rfam family "Bacterial small subunit ribosomal RNA", at positions 793 to 1055 of the family's 1533-position model. The record is from RNAcentral.
GUCCACGCCCUAAACGAUGGAUGCUAGCUGUAUGGAGUAUCGACCCUCUGUGUAGCGAAGCUAACGCGUUAAGCAUCCCGCCUGUGGAGUACGGUCGCAAGACUAAAACAUAAAGGAAUUGACGGGGACCCGCACAAGCGGUGGAGCGUGUUGUUUAAUUCGAUGAUAAACGAAGAACCUUACCCAGGCUUGACAUCCUACUAAAAGACUGCGAAAGCAGACUGUGUCUUCGGACCGUAGUGACAGGUGUUGCAUGGCCGUCGU